Molecule: long non-coding RNA, 923 nt
Organism: Drosophila mauritiana
Lineage: Eukaryota; Metazoa; Arthropoda; Insecta; Diptera; Drosophilidae
Exons: 3
Source: RefSeq, a predicted model, not a curated record
AACCUUCCAGCUUUUAUAGUUCCUGAGAUCUCGAUACGGACAGACGGACAUAGCUAGAUCGACUCGUCUUUUGACCCUGAUCAAGAAUAUAUAUACUUUAUAUGGUCGAUAAACGCAUUCUUCUACCUGUUAUAAAGCUUUCAACGGGGUAGCAGGUAUAACAAAUAGUAAUAAUCUGAAAGACUAAAGGAUGCAGUAAAGUAAGUUAAAGUAAACGUUACAUUGUGGGUUUCGGGAAUAUACGUGUGUGUGAAUUAACGAUAUGCAAGAGUGAAAGCGGCUUACGCCGCCUUCUUUGAGUUAAGCCAGCACGUUAGCUUUUAAAAGGAAAGUAGAGAUGCAGUCUUGGUUUAAAUGUGCCUGAUGGACCCUAAUCCGUAAAGGCACACAUUACUGAGAUUCUGAGGCUAAGGGCAGUGUAGAGUGGUUCUGUUUCAAUGCUUCGUGAACUGUCUGAUAAAUUCAACGCUCCUAUUCGCCCGCUAAAUGGAAUGGGCUCAAGGGAACAAAUCGAUGGAUGAAUUAUCGCUCAAGUAUCUAUUCAAAAGCUGGAUCCGGAGAGUCAGGCGAAAUGGGAGGAGCAUUUGGAGGACCAGUCUUCUAGAAACUUCCAACAUGGGAAUCCAUGGCAUCGUUUCUAGAUCAGUGAUGCAGGACGCUGGAGAACUGGAAUUCGCCGUAACAAGCUAAUCUCCAGGCAGCCAGGUGCAAAGUAGCAGAACAUCAGAUUUCUUCAUGCCUCAGCCCUGCGACCUGUGCGUUCUGCAAUGCUCCUUGGCACUCAAUUCAUAAAUGCCAGAGCUUCAAAACCCGGACCCGAGCUAAUAAAUUCAAAGAAGCGAAAAUGCUCACAUUUUGCAUAAAGUGCUUCAAUACCGGUCAUAAAAUUAGGUAGUGCAACUGCAAUAAAAAGUUUUAGAAAA